This 1030-nucleotide ribosomal RNA is filed under the name Brachybacterium paraconglomeratum. RNAcentral describes it as "bacterial SSU rRNA". It matches the Rfam family "Bacterial small subunit ribosomal RNA", at positions 41 to 1084 of the family's 1533-position model. The record is from RNAcentral. Lineage: Bacteria; Bacillati; Actinomycetota; Actinomycetes; Micrococcales; Dermabacteraceae.
GGGGGGGCUUAACAUGCAAGUCGAACGAUGACGGUGGUGCUUGCACUACCUGAUUAGUGGCGAACGGGUGAGUAACACGUGAGUAACCUGCCCCUCACUUCGGGAUAACCUCGGGAAAUCGUGGCUAAUACCGGAUAUUAGUGUGCACCGCAUGGUGCGUGUUGGAAAGAUUUAUCGGUGGGGGAUGGACUCGCGGCCUAUCAGUUUGUUGGUGAGGUAAUGGCUCACCAAGACGAUGACGGGUAGCCGGCCUGAGAGGGCGACCGGCCACACUGGGACUGAGACACGGCCCAGACUCCUACGGGAGGCAGCAGUGGGGAAUAUUGCACAAUGGGCGAAAGCCUGAUGCAGCGACGCCGCGUGGGGGAUGACGGCCUUCGGGUUGUAAACCCCUUUCAGUAGGGAAGAAGCGAAAGUGACGGUACCUGCAGAAGAAGCGCCGGCUAACUACGUGCCAGCAGCCGCGGUAAUACGUAGGGCGCAAGCGUUGUCCGGAAUUAUUGGGCGUAAAGAGCUUGUAGGUGGCUUGUCGCGUCUGCCGUGAAAACCCGAGGCUCAACUUCGGGCGUGCGGUGGGUACGGGCAGGCUAGAGUGUGGUAGGGGAGACUGGAACUCCUGGUGUAGCGGUGAAAUGCGCAGAUAUCAGGAAGAACACCGAUGGCGAAGGCAGGUCUCUGGGCCAUUACUGACACUGAGAAGCGAAAGCAUGGGUAGCGAACAGGAUUAGAUACCCUGGUAGUCCAUGCCGUAAACGUUGGGCACUAGGUGUGGGGGACAUUCCACGUUUUCCGCGCCGUAGCUAACGCAUUAAGUGCCCCGCCUGGGGAGUACGGCCGCAAGGCUAAAACUCAAAGGAAUUGACGGGGGCCCGCACAAGCGGCGGAGCAUGCUGAUUAAUUCGAUGCAACGCGAAGAACCUUACCAAGGCUUGACAUGCACCGGACGACUCCAGAGAUGGGGUUUUCUUCGGACUGGUGCACAGGUGGUGCAUGGUUGUCGUCAUCUCUUGUCCUGAGAUGUUGGGUUAAU